GAUGAAUGCUGGCGGCGUGCCUAAUACAUGCAAGUCGAGCGAAUGGAUUAAGAGCUUGCUCUUAUGAAGUUAGCGGCGGACGGGUGAGUAACACGUGGGUAACCUGCCCAUAAGACUGGGAUAACUCCGGGAAACCGGGGCUAAUACCGGAUAACAUUUUGAACCGCAUGGUUCGAAAUUGAAAGGCGGCUUCGGCUGUCACUUAUGGAUGGACCCGCGUCGCAUUAGCUAGUUGGUGAGGUAACGGCUCACCAAGCAACGAUGCGUAGCCGACCGGAGAGGGUGAUCGGCCACACUGGGACUGAGAACCGGCCCAGACUCCUACGGGAGGGAGCAGUAGGGAAUCUUCCGCAAUGGACGAAAGUCUGACGGAGCAACGCCGCGUGAGUGAUGAAGGCUUUCGGGUCGUAAAACUCUGUUGUUAGGGAAGAACAAGUGCUAGUUGAAUAAGCUGGCACCUUGACGGUACCUAACCAGAAAGCCACGGCUAACUACGUGCCAGCCGCCGCCGUAA
RNAcentral lists this ribosomal RNA (514 nucleotides) under uncultured bacterium. Its description in RNAcentral is "partial 16S ribosomal RNA". It matches the Rfam family "Bacterial small subunit ribosomal RNA", at positions 28 to 523 of the family's 1533-position model. The record is from RNAcentral.